This 384-nucleotide ribosomal RNA is filed under the name Triticum aestivum (bread wheat). Its description in RNAcentral is "partial small subunit ribosomal RNA". The record is from RNAcentral. Lineage: Eukaryota; Viridiplantae; Streptophyta; Magnoliopsida; Poales; Poaceae.
CUAGACCUUGCAGUAAGUAGCAUGCCCGGAGAUCUUAGCCAGUGGAUAAUGAAGCAUGAUGACCCUGAGAUUUCGCAGAUAGUUAAUCCAGGAAGGGGGAAGAUACUUGUAGAUACCGCAAGUGUCUGUAGGAUAUGGGGUUUGCCCAAUAGGAGCAGGAAGGUGUGCUUCGACAAUCAGCCUGAAAUCACAAAGGCAAUGUACAAUAUUUACAACAUCCCAUCCAAGAACUCCCCAACUCUCACAGAAUGGUGCAAGAUGAUCAUAGACAUGGGAGGAUCUUAUGAUGAUGACUUUCUCCGUGCUUGGCUAGCUCUUGUUUUUUCGUGCUUCCUUGCCCCCACAACUAGUUUAAGUAUUUCCCCAAAAAUGUCAGUGGAAUAA